RNAcentral lists this ribosomal RNA (612 nucleotides) under uncultured bacterium. Its description in RNAcentral is "bacterial SSU rRNA". It matches the Rfam family "Bacterial small subunit ribosomal RNA", at positions 194 to 785 of the family's 1533-position model. The record is from RNAcentral.
GUGUGAAUGAAAGCGGGGGACCGAAAGGCCUCGCGCUCAAGGGGCGGCCGAUGGCAGAUUAGCUAGUUGGUGGGGUAAAGGCCUACCAAGGCGACGAUCUGUAGCUGGUCUGAGAGGACGACCAGCCACACUGGGACUGAGACACGGCCCAGACUCCUACGGGAGGCAGCAGUGGGGAAUUUUGGACAAUGGGGGCAACCCUGAUCCAGCAAUGCCGCGUGUGUGAAGAAGGCCUUCGGGUUGUAAAGCACUUUUGUUCGGAAAGAAAACCACUUCUCUAAUACAGAGGUGGGAUGACGGUACCGGAAGAAUAAGCACCGGCUAACUACGUGCCAGCAGCCGCGGUAAUACGUAGGGUGCGAGCGUUAAUCGGAAUUACUGGGCGUAAAGCGUGCGCAGGCGGUUUGUUAAGACAGAUGUGAAAUCCCCGGGCUUAACCUGGGAACUGCAUUUGUGACUGGCAAGCUAGAGUAUGGCAGAGGGGGGUAGAAUUCCACGUGUAGCAGUGAAAUGCGUAGAGAUGUGGAGGAAUACCGAUGGGCGAAGGCAGCCCCCUGGGCCAAUACUGACGCUCAUGCACGAAAGGCGUGGGGAGCAAACAGGAUUAGAUAC